GCGUGGGAAGCGAAUCAUUGCAUUCGGUUUCGGCCCGUACUUUGGAGAAUAUUAAUCUUCCCCAUGCU
Molecule: transfer RNA, 68 nt
Filed under: Cerithidea obtusa
Lineage: Eukaryota; Metazoa; Mollusca; Gastropoda; Potamididae
Description: tRNA-Arg
Source: RNAcentral